GUAGUCAUAUGCUUCUCUCAAAGAUUAAGCCAUGCAUGUCUAAGUAUAAGCAAUUAUAGCGUGAAACUGCGAAUGGCUCAUUAAAUCAGUUAUCGUUUAUAAGAUAGUACCUUACUACUUGGAUAACCGUGGUAAUUCUAGAGCUAAUACAUGCUGAAAACCCCAACUUCGGGAGGGGUGUAUUUAUUAGAUAAGAAACCAACGCCCUUCGGGGCUUCUUGGUGAUUCAUGAUAACUUCACGGAUCGCAUGGCCUUGCGCCGGCGACGGUUCAUUCAAAUUUCUGCCCUAUCAACUUUCGAUGGUAAGGUAUUGGCGUACCAUGGUAACAACGGGUAACGGGGAAU
Molecule: ribosomal RNA, 346 nt
Filed under: uncultured fungus
Lineage: Eukaryota; Fungi
Description: SSU rRNA
Rfam family: Eukaryotic small subunit ribosomal RNA
Source: RNAcentral